CCCCUGCAUAACUGCUUGCAGUUCUAGUUAAAAGUUGCUGUUGCAGAUACGAUUGUAAAACAUUCAAUCAGCUUUUCAAAAGUCUAUAUUUAUAGUUUGUGUUUGAAAAUCCAAUUUUUUAUUUUCUUGCACAAUGGAUUGUAAUAAACAGUUUAGUUUGCUAAGAUGUUUCCAUUUAUGGUCAUUACAAACCCUUUCUAAAGGUUAGAAUUUGUUUGACCAAGUUGCUUAUUUAUAUGUUCUGAGAAACUUGAUUUAUACCUCCCAGGUGGGAGAUAUUUAGAUUAUAAAUGUAAUUAAUGAGCUGUUGUAUAUUAUUUGUUUCUUGUUGUAUUGUGUGCCACUAAAGAUGUGGAGGCCACUAUGCCCUCAUCUCCUGCUGUUCUGUACACGCAGUGGUCAUCGACCAGGAAGGGGAGGAGCCACUACUGUCCUCACAUUCCUGUGUGAUGGGAGGUCAUCUCCUGCUGGCUCCUCCCCUUCCUGGUCGCUGACCAGGAAGGGGAGGAGCCACUACUGUCCUCACAUUCCUGUGUGAUGGGAGGAGUCACUACUGUCCUCAUAUUCCUGUGUAAUGUGAGGUCAUCUCUUCUGGCUCCAGCCGCUCAUUAACUCGGAUUUUUAUAUCGAUUCUGUUCAUUUGUAAACCAUGGUAAAAAGGAAACGACAUGAGAAGGAUUUUGGUUUUAAUCUACCAUAAGAAACAAAUAGAUUUCUAACAUGUAUAUAACAUUUUGUGCAAAAUGUAUCCGGUUUCACAGAAUAUGAAUCAAAACCAAAUAAAUUAGGCCUGUGACAAUUCUACAAAUCACAACCAGUAUAAAACAAAUGGGACUCGACAUAGACGUUUUAGUUUAGCCACAAUAAAUAUAAUAAUAUUAUAGACAUGAUUCUGAAUAAAUAUCUAAUCAAUCCAACACAGCA
Molecule: long non-coding RNA, 924 nt
Organism: Gadus macrocephalus (Pacific cod)
Lineage: Eukaryota; Metazoa; Chordata; Actinopteri; Gadiformes; Gadidae
Exons: 2
Source: RefSeq, a predicted model, not a curated record